Molecule: ribosomal RNA, 120 nt
Organism: Xylona heveae TC161
Lineage: Eukaryota; Fungi; Ascomycota; Xylonomycetes; Xylonales; Xylonaceae
Source: Rfam
ACAUGCGACCAUAGACUGAGGAGAACUGGGCAUCCCGUCCGCUCUGCCAUACAUAAGCCUCAGAUCGGCGGACUAGUAGUUGGGUCGGUGACGACCAGCGAAUCCCCGCUGUUGCAUGUU